Solanum tuberosum (potato) is the source of this 744-nucleotide long non-coding RNA. RefSeq lists it as uncharacterized. Lineage: Eukaryota; Viridiplantae; Streptophyta; Magnoliopsida; Solanales; Solanaceae. The record is from RefSeq and is a predicted model, not a curated record. The transcript is spliced from 3 exons.
ACUGAUACUAAAGUUUCUUUUCCCAAUUCUUUACUUGCAAAGGUUAUGUUAGAAUUUCUUGGAUGUAUUGGUUUAAAAAGAUUUUCUAUCACCAAGCUGCUCUUGUUUAUGUGCUUACCUGACUUCUUUUGAAUGUAACUCUUUUCAAAUUUAAAAUAUAUUCUUAUGUAGAAUUAGGCUGCUUAUCGAACGGAUAAUUUCACUUAAUAGUUUGGCCUAUCGGAUAUCGGUUUUCAAAUUUACCUACCCAUUAGCCAUCUUCAAAAGCCUUGGUAUCUUUCUAAGCAUUGUUUCCAUUUAAAAUAAAGACCUUCUACUUGAAGAGAAGGACAAUGUAAGAAAUAUAAUGCUAACAAGUCAUCUAAUAGUUGUAUUAUAUGCAGGAGCGAUUGAAGAGCUUACACAAUAUAUUGUUGAUAUUCUGUAUUCAUUGGCAUAGCAAAUGCCCUGAUAAUGAUCAUUGAGCUUUAUGGAUGCAGUUCGUACAAAUGGAUCUGCCAAGCAUACCCUUUUACAUGCUGAGUUACCCUGUUUGAAGAUACUCAAUGUCGAGGUUCUUAAAUAAAUAACUUGCCAGCUUCCACACUUUUUUAAUCUCAUCCGACUGCCUGAUAAAGCAAAAACAGAGCAAUAUAACCUCCAUACAUUCAACAGAAGUAUCAGCAUCAACUUUACAUUUCUUGUUGUAUUGGAAGAAACAUCGCUAUUCCUUAAAUUAUAAUCUUCAUCAUAUUGGGCCCGGCU